GGGGCUGUAGCUCAGUGGUAGAGUGCUUGCCUCGCAAGUGUGAGACUGGGUUUGAUCCUCAGCACCACA
This 69-nucleotide transfer RNA is filed under the name Marmota monax (woodchuck). Its description in RNAcentral is "tRNA.Ala". It matches the Rfam family "tRNA". From Rfam's summary of the family: Transfer RNA (tRNA) molecules are approximately 80 nucleotides in length. Lineage: Eukaryota; Metazoa; Chordata; Mammalia; Rodentia; Sciuridae. The record is from RNAcentral.